RNAcentral lists this ribosomal RNA (119 nucleotides) under Pteropus alecto (black flying fox). The record is from RNAcentral. Lineage: Eukaryota; Metazoa; Chordata; Mammalia; Chiroptera; Pteropodidae.
GUCUACGGCCAUGCCACUCUGAACAUGCCCGAUCUCGUCUGACCUCGGAAGCUAAGCAGGGCCGGGCCUGCUUAGUACUUGGAUGGGAGACCACCUAGGAAUAUCAGGUGCUGUAGGCA